Molecule: ribosomal RNA, 743 nt
Filed under: uncultured bacterium
Lineage: Bacteria
Description: bacterial SSU rRNA
Rfam family: Bacterial small subunit ribosomal RNA
Source: RNAcentral
AGAGUUGAUCAUGGCUCAGAAUCAACGCUGGCGGCGUGCCUCAGACAUGCAAGUCGAACGCGAAAGACCCCUUCGGGGGUUGAGUAGAGUGGCGCACGGGUGAGUAACACGUGAGUAAUUUACCUUCUCGGUGGGGAAUAACAACCGGAAACGGUUGCUAAUACCGCAUAAUGCAGCGGCAUCUUCGGAUGACAGUUGUUAAAGCGGGGGAUCGGAGCAAUCCGACCUCGUGCCGGAAGAGAAGCUCGCGGCAGAUUAGGUAGUUGGUAGGGUAACGGCCUACCAAGCCUGCGAUCUGUAGCCGGCCUGAGAGGGCGGUCGGCCACACUGACACUGAACAUACGGGUCAGACUCCUACGGGAGGCAGCAGUCGGGAAUUUUGGGCAAUGGGCGCAAGCCUGACCCAGCAACGCCGCGUGAAGGACGAAGUUUUUCGGAAUGUAAACUUCACAAGACGGGGAAGAAUAAGUUAAGGCGAAUAACCUUAACGAUGACGGUACCCGUAGUAAGCUCCGGCUAACUCCGUGCCAGCAGCCGCGGUAAUACGGGGGGAGCAAGCGUUGUUCGGAUUUACUGGGCGUAAAGGGCGCGUAGGCGGUCAUUCAGUCACUUGUGAAUCUCCGGGCUCAACCCGGAGCGGCCAGUGAUACUGGCGACUAGAGUGCGGAAGGGGCACGGGAAUCUCGGUGUAGCGGUGAAAUGCGUAGAUAUCGAGAGGAAACAACUUGCGGACGCAAGGCGGG